UUUUUUUGGCCUUGAUCACCUGCAGUUUUACCAAAAUAAAAUUUGUUAAAGCUGCAUCAAGCAAUUCAUUGUAUCUCAUGAAGAAGUUAAAAGUUUUAAGUGGAGUCAUUGCAAAUUCAAAUCCUUAGGACACCUAGACAUAAACCUCCUCUGAGCUUAGACUGGCUUGAGAAUCCAAAGGCGUCUUGAGAAUAGUUCCAGCAGAUUCCGCCUGUAGAACGCACUUUUCGAAUUCCAUUAGCAACGAAGCCGCAAUAUCUUGCAUCAUCGUUUGCAAAUGGAUC
RNAcentral lists this unclassified non-coding RNA (284 nucleotides) under Hevea brasiliensis (rubber tree). Lineage: Eukaryota; Viridiplantae; Streptophyta; Magnoliopsida; Malpighiales; Euphorbiaceae. The record is from RNAcentral.